UACGUAGGGUGCGAGCGUUGUCCGGAAUUACUGGGCGUAAAGAGCUCGUAGGUGGUUUGUCGCGUUGUUCGUGAAAACCGGGGGCUUAACCCGUCGGCGUGCGGGCGAUACGGGCAGACUGGAGUACUGCAGGGGAGACUGGAAUUCCUGGUGUAGCGGUGGAAUGCGCAGAUAUCAGGAGGAACACCGGUGGCGAAGGCGGCAUCCUGGACCGGCACUGACGCUGAGGAGCGAAAGCCAGGGAGCAAACGGG
This 253-nucleotide ribosomal RNA is filed under the name uncultured bacterium. Its description in RNAcentral is "partial 16S ribosomal RNA". It matches the Rfam family "Bacterial small subunit ribosomal RNA", at positions 524 to 776 of the family's 1533-position model. The record is from RNAcentral.